Molecule: ribosomal RNA, 608 nt
Filed under: uncultured bacterium
Lineage: Bacteria
Description: bacterial SSU rRNA
Rfam family: Bacterial small subunit ribosomal RNA
Source: RNAcentral
AUGAGUUCGCGUCUGAUUAGCUAGUUGGUGAGGUAAUGGCUCACCAAGGCGACGAUCAGUAGCCGGCCUGAGAGGGUGAACGGCCACACUGGAACUGAGACACGGUCCAGACUCCUACGGGAGGCAGCAGUGGGGAAUAUUGCACAAUGGGCGAAAGCCUGAUGCAGCGACGCCGCGUGAGUGAAGAAGGUCUUCGGAUCGUAAAACUCUGUCCUUGGUGAAGAAAAAAAUGACGGUAGCCAAGGAGGAAGCCCCGGCUAACUACGUGCCAGCAGCCGCGGUAAUACGUAGGGGGCGAGCGUUGUCCGGAUUUACUGGGCGUAAAGGGUGAGUAGGCGGUUAUAUAUGUCAGAUGUAAAAGGCACAGGCUUAACUUGUGUAAGCAUUUGAAACUGUAUGACUUGAGUGCAGGAGAGGUAAGUGGAAUUCCUAGUGUAGCGGUGAAAUGCGUAGAUAUUAGGAGGAACACCAGUGGCGAAGGCGACUUACUGGACUGUAACUGACGCUGAGUCACGAAAGCGUGGGUAGCAAACAGGAUUAGAUACCCUGGUAGUCCACGCUGUAAACGAUGAGUGCUAGGUGUUGGCCAGCGAUGGUCAGUGCCGAAG